This 721-nucleotide ribosomal RNA is filed under the name uncultured Glomeromycotina. RNAcentral's name for it is "SSU rRNA". It matches the Rfam family "Eukaryotic small subunit ribosomal RNA", at positions 373 to 1093 of the family's 1831-position model. The record is from RNAcentral. Lineage: Eukaryota; Fungi; Glomeromycota.
GGGUUCGAUUCCGGAGAGGGAGCCUGAGAAACGGCUACCANNNNCAAGGAAGGCAGCAGGCGCGCAAAUUACCCAAUCCCAAUACGGGGAGGUAGUGACAAUAAAUAACAAUAUGGGGCUCUUACGGGUCUCGUAAUUGGAAUGAGUACAAUUUAAAUCUCUUAACGAGGAACAAUUGGAGGGCAAGUCUGGUGCCAGCAGCCGCGGUAAUUCCAGCUCCAAUAGCGUAUAUUAAAGUUGUUGCAGUUAAAAAGCUCGUAGUUGAAUUUCGGAGUUUGUCGGUUGGUCGGGCUUCACUGUCCGCACUGGCCUGAUGGAUUCCUACCUUCUGAAUAACCAGCAUGCUAUUAAGUUAGUGCGUUGGGGAAGCAGAGCUAUUACCUUGAAAAAAUUAGAGUGCUUAAAGCAGGCUUUUGCUUGAAUAGAUUAGCAUGGAAUAAUAAAAUAGGACGGCAUGGUUCUAUUUUGUUGGUUUCUAGGAUCACCGUAAUGAUUAAUAGGGAUAGUUGGGGGCAUUAGUAUUCAAUUGUCAGAGGUGAAAUUCUUGGAUUUAUUGAAGACUAACUUCUGCGAAAGCAUUUGCCAAGGAUGUUUUCAUUAAUCAAGAACGAAAGUUAGGGGAUCGAAGACGAUCAGAUACCGUCGUAGUCUUAACCAUAAACUAUGCCGACUAGGGAUCGGACGAUGUUAAUUUUUUAAUGACUCGUUCGGCGCCUUACGG